GUGAACGCUGGCGGUAGGCCUAACACCUGCAAGUCGAACGGCAGCACCGUAAGAGCUUGCUCUUACGGGUGGCGAGUGGCGGACGGGUGAGGAAUACAUCGGAAUCUACUUUUUCGUGGGGGAUAACGUAGGGAAACUUACGCUAAUACCGCAUACGACCUACGGGUGAAAGCAGGGGAUCUUCUGACCUUGCGCGAUUGAAUGAGCCGAUGUCGGAUUAGCUAGUUGGCGGGGUAAAGGCCCACCAAGGCGACGAUCCGUAGCUGGUCUGAGAGGAUGAUCAGCCACACUGGAACUGAGACACGGUCCAGACUCCUACGGGAGGCAGCAGUGGGGAAUAUUGGACAAUGGGCGCAAGCCUGAUCCAGCCAUACCGCGUGGGUGAAGAAGGCCUUCGGGUUGUAAAGCCCUUUUGUUGGGAAAGAAAAGCAGCAGGUUAAUACCCCGCUGUUCUGACGGUACCCAAAGAAUAAGCACCGGCUAACUUCGUG
Molecule: ribosomal RNA, 491 nt
Filed under: uncultured bacterium
Lineage: Bacteria
Description: partial 16S ribosomal RNA
Rfam family: Bacterial small subunit ribosomal RNA
Source: RNAcentral